UGAAAUCCAUACUGGGUAAAAGUGGCAG
Molecule: small RNA, 28 nt
Filed under: Bombyx mori (domestic silkworm)
Lineage: Eukaryota; Metazoa; Arthropoda; Insecta; Lepidoptera; Bombycidae
Description: piRNA piR-bmo-1734645
Source: RNAcentral